Diceros bicornis minor is the source of this 6371-nucleotide long non-coding RNA. RefSeq lists it as uncharacterized. Lineage: Eukaryota; Metazoa; Chordata; Mammalia; Perissodactyla; Rhinocerotidae. The record is from RefSeq and is a predicted model, not a curated record. The transcript is spliced from 5 exons.
UGAAGCAGUUGCAAAAUUGCAAUACUAAUACGACCAUUGACAAUAAUAUUAUAUGAAUGAAGUGAUGCGUGUGUGAAGCUUCAGAUUUCUCUGGAGUUCUUUUUGUCUCUUGUGAGCAACUUUGACACAAAAUUGAAUGGCUUAAAUCUAAUUAGGAGGAUGAGGAAUUUAUCUAGUGGUUCAAGAAGGUGAGUGUUGUGCUCUGAGUAUUGACUAUGGGGCUUGGCCCUUCCAGACAAUUCCUGCUUUGGAGCUCCCACUCUGUGCCCCUCCCCUCUCCUUCCUCUAAAUCCCUUUCUGAGGGUUGUCAAGGUUUCCACUGGGGAGGGGUACCCAUACUCCUCUCACUUAGAGGCUCUGUGAUCAUCCUUCACCGCUCAUCCAGGUUGUGAUGGUUAAUUUUGUGUGUCAACGUCGCUAGGCUAUGGUGCCCAGUUGUUUGGUCAUGGAUGCUGCUGUGAAAGUAUUUUUUUUUUCAUAUGAUUAACAUUUAAAUCAGUAGACUUUGAGUAAAGCAGGUUACCCUUCAUAACGUGGUGGGCCUUAUCCAAUCAACUGAAAGCCUUAAGAGAAAAGACUCAGGUCCCUUGAAGAGGAAGGAAUUCUGCCUCCAGACUCAAGACAUCAGCUUCUUGCUGGAGUUGCCAGCCUGCCCCCUGGAUUUUGGAUUUGCCAGCCUCCACAAUCAUGUGAACCAAUUCCUUAAAAUCUCUCUCUCUUUCCCCGACUUUCUCCUCUUCUCUCUGUCCACACACACACACACACACACACACACACACACUUUAUUGGUUCUGUUUCUGUGGAGAACCCUGACUAGAACACUGGUUAUCUCAAACCUCAGACAAAAUGGUUGGGGAUCUCUGCUGUGUCUCCAGUAGUGGCAUAUCGGGGUGAGAAGAAGAUUGUCAUCAUCUGGGCAGAAGACGAAUGGAGCAGGAGGAGCCCUGCACAGGGAGUGGGUGCAGGAAAUGGUGUGUAAGAACCUGUCUCCCCUCCCACUCGGAACUUGGCCAGUGGUUACCAGCAGGUAAGACCUUUGUUUGGUUUGGAACCAGAGUGUCCUCCUGGGCCAGGAGCAGCCUAACACGCCCUGCUCUGGCGAAAGGGGAAGAGGCUCUCUGUGACCCUCACAUGCCUCCAGGGCUCCUUGACUUCUGGUUCCUGUCAGUGGCUCUCAGGUGAGACAGGCUGUGUACACAACAGGUGGCUCACGUUUGGGAAGCACUUCCCCUCAGCAGCUAGAGAAGGUGGUGUUUCCCAGAAGCUCAUUGUUCUCAUUGCUUAAAGAGUAAAGGUCAAGCCACUUGUUAAAAGAGGCAGUUUAGGAUUUUCUCAGCUCCUCCUCCUUAAUUCCUCUUUCGUCUAUCCCUCCCCGGGAGGAGACUUUGGUAAAAUAGAGAAAAACUGAGAAUAUUGAGGACCAUAAUAAUGCAUUGAAGUUAUGCUAUGAGACAGUCAGUAUAAGCUACAGAAAAGUUUAUUUGCCAAGGACACUCCAUUCUGGGAUUAAAAGGCUCCUCCAACGAUGCCCAGUAAGGUUCUGCCACUGUCCUUCCAGGAAGGAGUUGGACCCUGUGAGGUGGACAGACCAAGUGGGAAAAGACCAAGCGGAUAGUGGAGGAAGAGAAGAGAGAUCGGAAAGUGAAGAGACCCCAGCUACAGAGAUUUGGAAAAAUGGAGCCAACUGUUUGUAGUGAGCUGAUCUGGAAGAUCAUUGAAGGGGCUGGGAGGUGAAUUCAAGAGCAAGAAUGGAUUAGGCCUCUUGAGCCAAAAGCCUGUCUAGGUUCUGUGAGCAGUUGCCCAGCAGCCUUCAACAAUGCAAAAAGUGGAUUCUCAUUACUUGAAGGCCAAGACUUCUGGCUAGAAUAGCCACACACGAUAACAGCCAGUCCCCAUGACUCUUUUUUUUGAGGACUGCCCUCAGGUCGCUGGGACCCACCUUACAUGCAUGUACAAAGAGCUGGAAGUGCCUGGAAAUCUGUGCCCCACGGGAGAGUGACCCUUAGCCGAUGACUGAUGGGAAUGCUAGUAUAAAGCUCUAGCACCCUUGGCCUGGGUUGGAACAACUCUGAAGCCUAAUGUAUUCUCCGGAGUUCCCCUACAGGAUCAUGCUGAAGCUGUCCUCUGUGGGACUUUGCCUGAGAUGGCGCCUAUGGAGGUGGAAUGUAGGUCCCUGCCCCAUGAAUCUGGUGGACUCUGUGACUGCUUCACACAUAAAGUAUGGCUGAACUGAUAUUGCGUCAGUUUCCAGACUCAGGCCUUAAGAGACUAGCAGCUUCCGCCUUUGGAUCACUCCUUUUAGGAGCCCUGAGCGACCAUGUAAGAAGUGCAAAUAUCCUGAAACUGUCAUGCUGGAGAGGCCAUGUAUAGGCAUUCCUGUCAACAGUCUCAGCUGAGCCAAGCCUUCCAGCCAUCCCUACCAAGGCAUGUCAGAGGCCAUCUUGGACCUUCCAGAUGAGCCCAUCUACCAGUUGCCUACCACUUAGGAACCUCAGUUCAUGCUGUGUGGAGGAGAAUAAUCACCUGGCUGAGCCCUGGCUGAGUUCCUGACCCAUGAAAUUGUGAGAUAUAAUAAAAUAGUCAUUAUUUAGAGACGUUAAGUAUUGGGGUGGUUUGUUACCUGGUGAUAGGUAAGUGGACCAGAGUUGUGAGGAUUAAGUGAGAUUAUAAAGCACUAAACACAGUGCCUGGAACACAGCAAGUACUCAAUAUAUGUUCGCUCUUAUCAAUGUUAUAAUGAUUCUCAUUCUUCCUUCCAAACCAUGUCCUUUAUACCAAGGACCGUGUCCAGCAUUCAUCUUUCAACAAGGACUUAUUGAAUGCCUAAUCUGCAUAUCACUUUGAGCUGGGUGCUCCCAUAUCACAGCUGGCUGAUGGACCACGUCCUUGAAGAUUGAGCUCUGAAUGCACAUUCUUUGGGACGCUGUUUGUAAGUCGCCCUACCUGGUUCAGUCAGUUCUCUGUGGCAGUCCUUUCUGCUUUCUAUGCACACAAUUUGCACUGUAUUAAUUUACAUUGGUGGAUAUGUUGCUUUAUAGGUGAUGUACAGAUAUUUUGUGUACUUGUGACUUGUCUUCCCAAUAAGAGUGUCAACAUCUUGAGGGCUGGGAUCUUGAAUUCAGGGUCCUUUGUCUUCCCGCACAGGGCCUUUAGUGGGGCCAAGUGCCUGAAAAUAUUUGGAUAAUUUGGAAUUCUCAAUAAAAGUUCCUGGAAUUCUGGAGCAACUUAUGUAAACCUGAAGGGAAAGAAAUAUCCUAUCUUUUGUGAAAUUCCUGAUUAUCUAGAGAUGAAUCCUUAAAGAAGACCAUGGAGACCAGAGAUCUGGCCUUGAAUAUGUUCUUCUUUUCAUAUAUUCUCUAUGUUGUUUCUUUAGAACCGAGGCUUCUUUAGGAUGGUAGAAACUUCUUUUGUGAAUUUCAGUAAAGGCAUUUUUGGCUGGCCCAUUUGGGGACUAGAUGUUGCUAGAGUAGUAUAGACAACACUUCCACUCUGGCUUGUCCCUUUCCGUCUGGUGGUGUACAAGGGCUUUGUUAUUUUGCAGGAAGAGAGGAAUUUUUGAUCGGAGGUAGGGACCAGGAAUCAAGGCCACAGAAUAGGGAAGGAAUAGUGUGAGUGUUCCCCCUUCCAGCCCUCUGCACUGUGUUUGAGUCCCUAUGGUUAGAGAAGUGGAGGCCUUAAACGGAUGGGAUUCAUUAGAGACUUGGAAACAUUCCAUGCAAGUGAAAGGAGCUGCUUAAGAGAGACUUUGCCAAACUCUGGGCACAAGCAGAGGUGCCUGAGGCUCCAGGGGACAAAAUGUGGCACAGAAUGCGGCAGGAAGCUAUUCUCCUUGCCUCUGCCCAGAAUCUGACAAUAUUCCUACAUACUUCCCCUGAUGGGAAGCAAGCAUCAUCAGGCUCAGGCCAUCGUGCUUUUCCAAUAUAUAAAGGAUAUAGAACUUUGAAGUCAUGCGCUGUUGAGCCCUGGAGACGCGGGAACACCUUUGUUGUGACUAGCUUUCAUUGGGAUACAUUAUCUCUUGAUUCAGAAAAUAUGAGCUAUUGUUGGAAAUGGAACCUGAAUUUUGGUUAAGACGUUUCUUUUUUCCUACUAAAAUGUAUGAUUAUUAUCAUUAACGUAAUUUUAUAUUGUUUAGAACUGUGGUCUUUAUGGGUUUAUAUUGGAAACAGCUUGGUGGAUGCAGGAUGUUUUUAGUCAUUAAAGGAUAGACUAUUGUUUAUUGAGUGGACUGUCGGUUCCAUUCAUACCUGGCCUUCAUCUCAACAGCAGGGCACACAAUUCAUUGGUGUGACUCUUAGAAGUGAGAUCAAGUGAUCCCAUACCCGCUGUCAGCUCUAAACCCCACCUAAAAUGUCUUUUAGUGCACAGUAAAUAUAACUGAUGAGAGUCUCAAUGCUGUAAUUUAGAAGAGCUAGAUUUAACACAAAAUCUGUUGUUUUACAUGCCAGUAAUCUCCUUCAUGGAACUUUAGAGCAAGCCAGGGCAGGAACAAGGGUAGGGAAGAUUGGAAAGUUAAAAAGAAAACACUUACCUGAAUCACACAGUUAGAAAAUUGCAAGAAAAUGCUGGUUGAACUUUCCUCAUCACUAGAAAGAAAAAUAAAUAAUGAAAAUUAACAUAAAGACACGAAGAGCUAAUUUUCAAUUUCAAUUCGUCUUUCUGAAUGAUGCUUCUUUGGUCUUUUAUGAAGGAUAAAUUACAUUUGAAAUGAAAUCUUUUAAAUGAGUUAUCUUUUGGGUCGUUACUUUGCACACCGUUAAAAUGCAUUUUACUGGUUUGUGGGGGGUGGGGUAGAAAGAUGAAUUCUGAAGAAGUUGAGAGGAAAAUAAUUUCAGGAGGUAAUGGAUGAACUUGCUCUGGAAGAUUAAUCAGGGCAGCGGCAAGAGAGUGCCACAUGCAUAACGGGAGUAGAACUAAGUAUCUGAUUGUAAUUAAAACUUUAGGUUUCUAAUGGCUGCAUGAAAGAUAUUUUAAUAAACGUGAAAUGCACUUUCUAAAUGGCACGCUAACUUUUAAUGACUUGGGUGUUUUGUUUGAUUAGUAACCUGGACUGUUAAAUUAAAGCCAACUGCAAGUGCAUGAUAAAAUAUUGAUGGUUUCAGGCAAGUGAAUUGGGGGAGUUAUGCUUGAUAGGUUUUUUGUAUCAUUAAGGAUUUUAACUGGUGGAAAAUAUAUAUUGCUGGUGCUUAAAGAUAGUUAAAGAGGAUCUUCUUGUUUAUAUGACCUCGUUUUAAUUUUACAGUAAUAAUAAGGGGGAAAUCUGAAUUAUUCACAGAUGGUUGGUCAAGAGAGGUCACUUAAUUAAAAAAGUGUUAUUUUAAUUACACCUGUUUCACAUUCCUGGAAUAGGAAAUUAAAUAUUUUGAAGCAUUUGAUUAUUUCUGUUUCACAGAGUACCUGGACUUCUGCUGACUCUGAUGAAGACCUGAGAUAGUUGUGUGUAAGGCUUUCAUUUCUUGUUAGGAGGGAGUUUUGCUUUAAGAAACAAGAUUUUAAAAAUAAUUUUUUCAUUGAUAGUUUUAGAAAUAAUAAAAGAAGACAUAAUUUUAUGGAUAUAUGCACACAUAUAUAUAUAUGGAGAGAGAGAGAGUAUAUUUUUGUAUAUGCAGGACAAUUCUAGAAGGAUAUGUAAGAAAAUAUGAGGCGUGGUUAUUUCUAGGGAGUUGAGCUGGGAGUCGAAAGAGUGAGAGAUUUUAUUUCUUACUUUAUUCUUUUUGGGAAAUAGAAUAUGUUUUACAAUGAGAAUGCCUUAGUUUUACAAAAAAUUUUCCCUUUGAAACCCAGAUUUAUCUUUUAACAACUCAAUUUUUCCUUUUCAUGUCUCUGUCCCCAUAAUUGAAUUUUCUUGAUUCUGACAGAUGAUGUGGUUACUUUUAAGCAGCUUUUUUCAUUGGAUCAGGUAAGUUCCCUUCCUUCCUUCUGUCCCUCCAACCAUUCAUCCACCCUCAGAUAUUUAGUGUUUAGUGCCUCUGACUGCUUUUUAUAGCCUAAAUAAAAGUACCUCUUUGAAGGAGAGACCCCAGCAGCAUUCUCAAGGUAGCUUUCCCUCUGAUGGGACUUUGGGUGAGUGAAGAAAGAAAAAAGGUGAAACUUUGAGAAGAUGGAGGAAUUUUGCAGAUGAUGUUAGAACAAUGAUUCAGGGUGGCCUGGCUCUGUGUAUCUACAUAGUCCCUCACAUAGAAGGAAAACACUAGUGUCUUCUCAGUUAACGAGAGACUUGCACAGUGCCAGAAGGACACCUUGAGGAGUAGUCAUAGACAAGCCUCCUCAUAAAGGAAAGAGCCAGCUAUUCCCAGGGUUCUGAUCUUUGGGUGCCUCAGAAACGUAGCUGGUGUGAGGUUGAAAAGGCACAGGGAGAUUCUUGGACAGUC